Molecule: small nuclear RNA, 102 nt
Organism: Monodelphis domestica (gray short-tailed opossum)
Lineage: Eukaryota; Metazoa; Chordata; Mammalia; Didelphimorphia; Didelphidae
Source: Ensembl
GUGCUCCUUUCAGCAGCACAUAUAUAAAAAUGGAACAAUACAGAGAAGAUCAGCAUGGCCUCUGUGCAAGGGGGACACACAAAUUCAUGAAGUAUUUUUUUU